This 484-nucleotide ribosomal RNA is filed under the name uncultured bacterium. Its description in RNAcentral is "partial 16S ribosomal RNA". It matches the Rfam family "Bacterial small subunit ribosomal RNA", at positions 30 to 507 of the family's 1533-position model. The record is from RNAcentral.
AUUGAACGCUGGCGGCAGGCCUAACACAUGCAAGUCGAGCGGAUGAAGGGAGCUUGCUCCUGGAUUCAGCGGCGGACGGGUGAGUAAUGCCUAGGAAUCUGCCUGGUAGUGGGGGAUAACGUCCGGAAACGGGCACUAAUACCGCAUACGUCCUGAGGGAGAAAGUGGGGGAUCUUCGGACCUCACGCUAUCAGAUGAGCCUAGGUCGGAUUAGCUAGUUGGUGGGGUAAAGGCCUACCAAGGCGACGAUCCGUAACUGGUCUGAGAGGAUGAUCAGUCACACUGGAACUGAGACACGGUCCAGACUCCUACGGGAGGCAGCAGUGGGGAAUAUUGGACAAAGGGCGAAAGCCUGAUCCAGCCAUGCCGCGUGUGUGAAGAAGGUCUUCGGAUUGUAAAGCACUUUAAGUUGGGAGGAAGGGCAGUAAGUUAAUACCUUGCUGUUUUGACGUUACCAACAGAAUAAGCACCGGCUAACUUCGUG